Molecule: ribosomal RNA, 228 nt
Filed under: uncultured bacterium
Lineage: Bacteria
Description: partial 16S ribosomal RNA
Rfam family: Bacterial small subunit ribosomal RNA
Source: RNAcentral
UCCGUAGGCGGGCAAUUAAGUCAGAGGUGAAAUCCCACAGCUCAACUGUGGAACUGCCUUUGAUACUGGUUGUCUUGAGUUACAGUGAAGUAGAUAGAAUAUGUAGUGUAGCGGUGAAAUGCAUAGAUAUUACAUAGAAUACCGAUUGCUAAGGCAGUCUACUAACUGUAUACUGACGCUAAUGGACGAAAGCGUGGGGAGCGAACAGGAUUAGAUACCCUGGUAGUC